AACGAACGCUGGCGGCAGGCUUAACACAUGCAAGUCGAGCGAGACCUUCGGGUCUAGCGGCGGACGGGUGAGUAACGCGUGGGAACGUGCCCUUCUCUACGGAAUAGCCCCGGGAAACUGGGAGUAAUACCGUAUACGCCCUUUGGGGGAAAGAUUUAUCGGAGAAGGAUCGGCCCGCGUUGGAUUAGGUAGUUGGUGGGGUAAUGGCCCACCAAGCCGACGAUCCCUAGCUGGUUUGAGAGGAUGAUCAGCCACACUGGGACUGAGACACGGCCCAGACUCCUACGGGAGGCAGCAGUGGGGAAUCUUAGACAAUGGGGGCAACCCUGAUCUAGCCAUGCCGCGUGAGUGAUGAAGGCCUUAGGGUUGUAAAGCUCUUUCAGCUGGGAAGAUAAUGACGGUACCAGCAGAAGAAGCCCCGGCUAACUCCGUG
Molecule: ribosomal RNA, 433 nt
Filed under: uncultured bacterium
Lineage: Bacteria
Description: partial 16S ribosomal RNA
Rfam family: Bacterial small subunit ribosomal RNA
Source: RNAcentral